This 219-nucleotide ribosomal RNA is filed under the name uncultured bacterium. Its description in RNAcentral is "partial 16S ribosomal RNA". It matches the Rfam family "Bacterial small subunit ribosomal RNA", at positions 524 to 742 of the family's 1533-position model. The record is from RNAcentral.
GACAGAGGGUGCAAACGUUGUUCGGAAUUACUGGGCGUAAAGCGCGUGUAGGCGGCUAAGUAAGUCGGGCGUGAAAUCCCACGGCUCAACCGUGGAAGUGCACUCGAAACUGCAUAGCUAGAGUCCUGGAGAGGAAGGUGGAAUGCUUGGUGUAGAGGUGAAAUUCGUAGAUAUCAAGCGGAACACCGGUGGCGAAGGCGGCCUUCUGGACAGUGACUG